UUUUAGCGACGCGUUUAUCGUACAAUUUAAUCAGUUUAACAUAGCGAAAGUUGUGAAAAAUUAAUAAAAACCGGUAGCGGCUAAUAUUGUCUGUUGUGUGUUGUGUGUUUGAAUAGCGCAGAGCUAGUAAAAUGCGCAGCGAUUCCAGUGUUCAGCUUCGAAACCCAACAGAAACACUCUUAACCUGCGAGAACUUUCAUAGCAAACUAAUUUUUGUACCAGAAACCCCCUGAUCCGAUCCCGAAUCCAAAAUCCCAAACUCUCCUACCACACCAGCAUCAGCGGCAGUGAACAAAAAAAAAAAA
Molecule: long non-coding RNA, 305 nt
Organism: Drosophila guanche
Lineage: Eukaryota; Metazoa; Arthropoda; Insecta; Diptera; Drosophilidae
Exons: 2
Source: RefSeq, a predicted model, not a curated record